RNAcentral lists this ribosomal RNA (511 nucleotides) under Eurycercus lamellatus. RNAcentral describes it as "partial 12S ribosomal RNA". Lineage: Eukaryota; Metazoa; Arthropoda; Branchiopoda; Diplostraca; Eurycercidae. The record is from RNAcentral.
UGCCAGCUGCCGCGGUUAAACGAAGAGUACAAAUUAAGUAGAAGAUUAAAAUUAAUUAAUAGUAAAUUUUUUUAUACUUUUGACUAAAAAUUAUUUAGGUAAAAUUUAUCUUUUUUUUUAUUAAAGUUCUUUUAAAUUUUAAAGAUUUAAAAAAUUCAACUUAAAGGACCAGGAUUAGAUACCCUGUUACUUUGAAUAAUAUUUAUGUCAGGGUAGUACAAGAAGUGCUUCAAACCCACAGACCUUGGCGGUGUCUUAUCUAAGCAGAGGAGCUUGUCUCAUAAUCGAUAAUCCCCGUUUAAUCUUACCUUUUUUUGUAAAGCUUGUGUACUCCGUUGUCAGGUUGCUUCUUAAGAGUGCGACCUAAAAAAACAAUUUUUGCACUUCAGGUCAAUGUGCAGCUUAUGAAAAGGAGAGGAUGAGCUACAAUAAAUUUUAUUUAAAACGGAAAAGAAUUGAAAAAUUCUUCAAAGGUGGAAUUUGCCAGUAAAAAUUUAAAAGAAAUGAAUUU